CUGCUGCCUUCCGUAGGAGUUGGGCCGUGUCUCAGUCCCAAUGUGGCCGGUUCACCCUCUCAGGCCGGCUACUGAUCGUUGCCUUGGUAGGCCAUUACCCCACCAACUAGCUAAUCAGACGCGGAACCAUCGUAUACCACCAGAGUUUUUCACACCGCUUCAUGCGAAGCUGUGCGCUUAUGCGGUAUUAGCACCUAUUCUAAGUGUUAUCCCCCAGUAUACGGCAGGUUUUCCACGCGUUACUCACCCGUCCGCCA
RNAcentral lists this ribosomal RNA (257 nucleotides) under uncultured bacterium. Its description in RNAcentral is "partial 16S ribosomal RNA". The record is from RNAcentral.